Enterocytozoon bieneusi H348 is the source of this 72-nucleotide transfer RNA. It matches the Rfam family "tRNA". From Rfam's summary of the family: Transfer RNA (tRNA) molecules are approximately 80 nucleotides in length. The record is from Rfam. Lineage: Eukaryota; Fungi; Microsporidia; Enterocytozoonidae.
UCUCUGAUGGUGUAACGGUUAGCAUUUAAGCUUGUCACGCUUGCGAUCCGGGUUCGAUUCCCGGUCAGAGAG